Molecule: ribosomal RNA, 393 nt
Filed under: uncultured bacterium
Lineage: Bacteria
Description: bacterial SSU rRNA
Rfam family: Bacterial small subunit ribosomal RNA
Source: RNAcentral
GACGAACGCUGGCGGCGUGCUUAACACAUGCAAGUCGGGCGGUAAGGCCCUUUCGGGGGUACACGAGCGGCGAACGGGUGAGUAACACGUGGGUGACCUGCCCUUAGCUCUGGGAUAAGCCUGGGAAACUGGGUCUAAUACCGGAUAUGACUCCAUGACGCAUGUUGUGGGGUGGAAAGCCUUGUGCGGCUAGGGAUGGGCCUGCGGCCUAUCAGCUUGUUGGUGGGGUGAUGGCCUACCAAGGCGACGACGGGUAGCCGGCCUGAGAGGGCGACCGGCCACACUGGGACUGAGACACGGCCCAGACUCCUACGGGAGGCAGCAGUGGGGAAUCUUGCGCAAUGGGCGAAAGCCUGACGCAGCGACGCCGCGUGGAGGAUGACGGCCUGGUGU